GCCACCACAUUCAUAUUCAGCGAAUGCGCGAGGUUGAUGAUGGUGGACACCAGGGACAGCCCCUCGGGUCCGGCGGUCAUGUCGGUCACGAACGAGCGGUCGAUCUUCAGGGUGUCCACCGGCAGUUUGGCGAGGUGACUGAGCGAGGAGAAGCCGGUGCCGAAGUCGUCGAUGCUUAUGGUUACGCCCAUCUCGCGGAUCGCCUGGAGGAUAUCGAUACUGCG
This 224-nucleotide unclassified non-coding RNA is filed under the name uncultured bacterium. RNAcentral describes it as "contains 16S-23S intergenic spacer region". The record is from RNAcentral.